GGAUUUUACUCUUUAUAUUUUUUUUAAUUUGUUUUUUCUCUCUCUCUCUCUUUCCCCUAGUUUCUAUGCUGCCAUCCAUCAAACCCAGUUCUCCGUCUAUCACCACCAAGCUUCCAAAGAGAAAGAACGAGAGAAAAGAAAAGAGAGGACUGCCGGGAGACUAUCGGAAAUCACAGAAGGCGAUGAGUCUUCGGUCGUCUAGGCGAUGGGAGGUAAAGCUGGAGGUCGUCUAGACGAUAAGGGACAAGUCGUCUAGACGAUGAAGGCUUUACUCAAGAUCCUCUAGACGAAGGCAUCUAAACGAUGGUCGUCUACACGAUGAGGCUUGCAGAAGUAAACGAUCAUUGGCUAAAAGCUAAACGAUCGUUUGCUAAAAGCUACACAAUCGGUGGGUCAGAGGUAUACGAUAGAAGAAGACGGUCGGGAAGAAGAAGAACACGAUAGUUUUACGUGAUUCGGCCAAGAAAGGCCUACGUCCACGGAGAAGCUGACGGGAGUUUUAUUCCAGAUUGCUUCAAGAUAAGUUUGAUCACUCAAUUACAAUUUGCAUUCUCUCUUUACAAUUAGUUACACAAUGUAUUUAAAGAUAGCUUGAUUUGUAACAGGUUUUGUAACUGAAUGAAGUUAUUUUCACCUUUCUGUAUAA
Long non-coding RNA from Benincasa hispida (wax gourd), 646 nucleotides. RefSeq lists it as uncharacterized. Lineage: Eukaryota; Viridiplantae; Streptophyta; Magnoliopsida; Cucurbitales; Cucurbitaceae. The record is from RefSeq and is a predicted model, not a curated record.